RNAcentral lists this ribosomal RNA (423 nucleotides) under uncultured eukaryote. Its description in RNAcentral is "SSU rRNA". It matches the Rfam family "Eukaryotic small subunit ribosomal RNA", at positions 592 to 1017 of the family's 1831-position model. The record is from RNAcentral.
CAAUAGCGUAUAUUAAAGUUGUUGCAGUUAAAAAGCUCGUAGUUGGAUUUCUGGUACAACGCGCCUGGCCCGCUUUUGUGAGUGCCGGUGCGCGUUUGCCAUCCUUCUAGAAAACGUCUCUACUCGGGCAACUGGGCCGGAUUCGCGAUCUAGAUCUUUUACUUUUGAAAAAAUUAGAGUGUUUAAAGCAGGCAUUUGCUAUGAAUACAUUAGCAUGGAAUAAUAAUCUAGGACUUCGGUUCUAUUUUGUUGGUUUCUAGAUCUGAAGUAAUGAUUGAUAGGGAUAGUUGGGGGUGCUAGUAUUAAGGGGCCAGAGGUGAAAUUCUUGGAUUCUCUUAAGACUAACUUAUGCGAAAGCAUUCACCAAGGAUGUCUUCUUUAAUCAAGAACGAAAGUUGGGGGAUCGAAGAUGAUCAGAUACCA